Molecule: small RNA, 1217 nt
Filed under: Rattus norvegicus (Norway rat)
Lineage: Eukaryota; Metazoa; Chordata; Mammalia; Rodentia; Muridae
Description: uncharacterized LOC108350459
Source: RNAcentral
AUGCUUUUACAAUGGAUACAGAAAGGUCAGCAUUUAUUGAGCAUUUAACACGUGACAUAUGCGGUGUUUCAGUCCACUUGUGCAAGUAAACUAAAAACCCUUGAGUACUGAGAUUCCUAGAUUAGAUGGAAUUUGCUCAAGGUAGCAGCAGGUUAGAGGUUGCCAGAGCAGCUGGCCUCCAGUCAGCUCCUGAGGCCAGUAUGCUAAGAAGGCAAGGAAUUUAUUGGAAUGACUUAUGGUCUGCAGUCCAACUAGCCCAACAAUGGUCAGCGGUGAAUGGGAAGUUCAAGAAUCUAGUAGUUGCUCAGUCCCAUGAGGCUGAGUGCCUCAGCUGGUCUUCUGUAUAAGAAGUAUUUCCAACAGAGGUGCUAGGAGAUAAGUGCCACCAGUUGUCCCUCUACUGGUGUGGGGCAAGUGGACUGCGCCACCAGACAAAAGAACUGGUAAGGUUGAGUGAGCGGCUAACCCUGUGAACUCAGAAUUGAGUAAGGUAGGUAGGCGUGGGACCAGCUCUCUGCCAAACUACCUUCUCUGGACCAUGUAACCACAAUAACCGCUGAGAGGGCCAUGACACUCAGUCACGUAGAGGAAAUGCCUGAAGUCCAUCCCCAUGCUCAUAGGGCAUCACUAGCAUUUCAGAAUGAGCCAAUGGGAAAUGUCUACCCCUGGAUCCUACCCUCUUCUGUAACUUUACUUUUUUAAGGCUUAUUUUUAAUGAUGGUUCUUAAACAUUUUGACCUCCCUUUCAGUCCACCAUCCACCAGAGGUAGUGGAAAAGAAAGGAUAUGGGGUGUGUUUGGGGGUGGGUGGACCUGUUUAGAAAGGGUUCUUUGGAGCAACUCCCAUCGCCUAUCUGCAAUGUCUGGAAAUUGAUAGUUCUGUUCACAGGUCAAUAGUGGCAGCUCGAUCUACUUGCAAACAUUUUACCAAUAUACAGCAGUCCAGUUUGGUAGAGUGGGGACAGCAAAUGAGAAUCAGCAGCAGUGGCACUUCCCAGCAGAGACAGCCUCAGCACAAGACAGCUAGAGAGUCCAUGGAGGAACACCAGAAAAAGUUCUUGGCUGUGCCUCUCUAGCAAAGUGAAGAUCAGCAAAGACUCAAGACCAACAAGCCUUGCACAGCGAGCUCUGUAAGCAAGCCAAGCUUAGCCUCCAUCACUGUCCAUUGAGUCCUUUGUAUACUGUCUCCAAACAUCACGUGUCCUCCACAGGUCUUGG